This 262-nucleotide signal recognition particle RNA is filed under the name Candidatus Cloacimonadota bacterium. RNAcentral describes it as "signal recognition particle sRNA large type". It matches the Rfam family "Bacterial large signal recognition particle RNA". From Rfam's summary of the family: The signal recognition particle (SRP) is a universally conserved ribonucleoprotein involved in the co-translational targeting of proteins to membranes. Archaeal SRP consists of a 7S RNA and homologues of the eukaryotic SRP19 and SRP54 proteins. The record is from RNAcentral. Lineage: Bacteria; Pseudomonadati; Candidatus Cloacimonadota.
GUGUGCUAGGUGGGGAGAUAGCGGUGCCCUGUAACCCGCAACCCGCUCCAGCGGGGCUGAAUCCCUGCAGGAGAAUAUCGAUUUCCCCUGAAAAAUUGAUAAGCGGUGUUGAGAAAUAAGCCCUGCGCAAUUUUCGUCUGUGAACCUUGUCAGGUCCGGAAGGAAGCAGCAAUAAGCAGAAUUGAAGAUGUGCCGCAGGUCAACUUGUUUUGAGCUGGCUGUCCGUUUUUUUUCGGAAUAGUUAUCGAAUGCAGGUGCACAC